RNAcentral lists this ribosomal RNA (792 nucleotides) under uncultured bacterium. RNAcentral describes it as "bacterial SSU rRNA". It matches the Rfam family "Bacterial small subunit ribosomal RNA", at positions 62 to 869 of the family's 1533-position model. The record is from RNAcentral.
UCGACGAGAGAGAAGAGCUUGCUUCUUCGAUCGAGUGGCGAACGGGUGAGUAACGCGUGAGGAACCUGCCUCAAAGAGGGGGACAACAGUUGGAAACGACUGCUAAUACCGCAUAAGCCCACGGGUCGGCAUCGACCUGAGGGAAAAGGAGCAAUCCGCUUUGAGAUGGCCUUGCGUCCGAUUAGCUAGUUGGUGAGGUAACGGCCCACCAAGGCGACGAUCGGUAGCCGGACUGAGAGGUUGAACGGCCACAUUGGGACUGAGACACGGCCCAGACUCCUACGGGAGGCAGCAGUGGGGAAUAUUGCACAAUGGGGGAAACCCUGAUGCAGCGACGCCGCGUGGAGGAAGAAGGUCUUCGGAUUGUAAACUCCUGUUGUUGAGGAAGAUAAUGACGGUACUCAACAAGGAAGUGACGGCUAACUACGUGCCAGCAGCCGCGGUAAAACGUAGGUCACAAGCGUUGUCCGGAAUUACUGGGUGUAAAGGGAGCGCAGGCGGGAAGACAAGUUGGAAGUGAAAUCUAUGGGCUUAACCCAUAAACUGCUUUCAAAACUGUUUUUCUUGAGUAGUGCAGAGGUAGGCGGAAUUCCCGGUGUAGCGGUGGAAUGCGUAGAUAUCGGGAGGAACACCAGUGGCGAAGGCGGCCUACUGGGCACCAACUGACGCUGAGGCUCGAAAGUGUGGGUAGCAAACAGGAUUAGAUACCCUGGUAGUCCACACUGUAAACGAUGAUUACUAGGUGUUGGAGGAUUGACCCCUUCAGUGCCGCAGUUAACACAAUAAGUAAUC